UGGCGCGUGCCCUUAUACAUGCCAAGUAGCACGCUGAAGGAGGAGCUUGCUCUUGGAUGAGUUGCGCACGGGUGAGUACGCGUAGGUCAUGCCUGGUAGCGGGGGAUUACUAUUGGAAACGAUAGCUAAUACCGCAUAAGAGUAGAUGUUGCAUGACAUUUACUUAAAAGGUGCAAUUGCAUCACUACCAGAUGGACCUGCGUUGUAUUAGCUAGUUGGUGGGGUAACGGCUCACCAAGGCGACGAUACAUAGCCGACCUGAGAGGGUGAUCGGCCACACUGGGACUGAGACACGGCCCAGACUCCUACGGGAGGCAGCAGUAGGGAAUCUUCGGCAAUGGACGGAAGUCUGACCGAGCAACGCCGCGUGAGUGAAGAAGGUUUUCGGAUCGUAAAGCUCUGUUGUAAGAGAAGAACGAGGCUUGAGAGUGGAAAGUUCACAC
RNAcentral lists this ribosomal RNA (443 nucleotides) under Streptococcus mitis. RNAcentral's name for it is "bacterial SSU rRNA". It matches the Rfam family "Bacterial small subunit ribosomal RNA", at positions 37 to 473 of the family's 1533-position model. Lineage: Bacteria; Bacillati; Bacillota; Bacilli; Lactobacillales; Streptococcaceae. The record is from RNAcentral.